AUGGCCCCGUCGACGUAUGUCUGCUCGGUCAAUCAAGAACAUGGGCGAAUUCGCGAUUUCACAGGGCCUCCACAACCCGAACCCAUCCCCUACGCUCCAGGCAAGCCUCGCCCCUUUACACUCACCGACCUGGAUGCGAUACGUCGACGCGUAGCAGAUGCAUCUAAGGAAUUCGCCCACUCCGACUACGCUGUCGGGGAUGGACAACUCUUCACGGACGUCGACGAGAUAUCUCGACGCGUAGCAGAUGUACGCAUGGAAGUCGCCUGCUCCGACAUCCAGACGAGGCCCUACGAUCGGCCGCAACCUCCACAGUGCGAGUACCCUUCUUAUGAUGUGCCUGAGCAGUUGGAAACGCCACUGCUAGAGCCAAAGAACACCAACACUUCAUCUUCCUCCACACAGCCAGAGGCGCUAACUCAUGACAUCUUGCCAGUGUCAAGGCAAUCGUCUCCGCCUAUUUUCGCUCGCAAUCCUUCUGGUUGGCAUAUACAGUUUUUCAUCAGAAUAGAUGUCGAGGGUUCUUUCCACACGUAUCCUAGUCUGGGCGGGCCAUUUCAGAGCUUGCAGGAAGCUGAGAACGCUAUCACUAGCCAUCUUGACGAGCUGCGCUCUCCAAUGAUGUGCACAGAUGGGCUUUCGGAUGCUGAGAUUGGUAUAUUACACGCCCUUCACUGGCCUGAUGGCACAAGGAAGAAAUCUUCUAAAGGCAAUGCGGAACAUAGGAAUAUCAGCUUAUUGGUUCAAGCGUUACUGGACAAAUACAAUGAAGAUCACCAUCUUUUGGGGGAUUUUGAAUAUGAACUUGAUGAUGUUGUUAUCUUCCGAGAAUUUGUUGAGGGGGAGAAAGUGACUAGGUUCUAUCAUAUCAAUCUGGCUACAAAAACCAAAGGAGAAGAUGGUUUGCACAGUGGCGUCAACAAUCUAUUUUUUGCUGAAGUCAGACAAAUUAAAGGAGAAAAUGUAUAUGUACUCAGUUGUUUAUGUAUGGUUAAACCUACUGACAGUGGCCAAUGCUAUGGUUGCUUGAGUUAUGGAAAUGUUGAUUUGAAGCACCCUGUUGAUACUGAUAAAUACAAAGGUGGCCACACUGCCCCGCGCUCACCAUGUUGCGGUUUUGAUCUACGGUGUGAUGUUAUCCCUGGCCUAGAUGUACCUGAAUGCAUCGAGGAUGAGGAGGCUAGGCUGGUGAAGGAGGAGGCUAGGUUAAGAUAUAUAUACAAGUGCCCUGCUCCGGCAAAAUUGGAUGGUGCAAGAGUGCGUGCUUGUUUGGCAAAGAGAGAGGAUGCUGGUUUGACCAAGGGAGAGUGUGGCCAGGGAAGCGCGAAAUACAUUGUGCCUGCUAGGCGUCGUCUGCUGGUUUGA
Molecule: ribosomal RNA, 1365 nt
Filed under: Triticum aestivum (bread wheat)
Lineage: Eukaryota; Viridiplantae; Streptophyta; Magnoliopsida; Poales; Poaceae
Description: partial small subunit ribosomal RNA
Source: RNAcentral